Molecule: ribosomal RNA, 256 nt
Filed under: uncultured bacterium
Lineage: Bacteria
Description: partial 16S ribosomal RNA
Rfam family: Bacterial small subunit ribosomal RNA
Source: RNAcentral
GACGAACCGUACGAACGUUUAUUCGGAAUCACUGGGCUUAAAGGGUGCGUAGGCGGCGCGACAAGUUGGGUGUGAAAUCCCUCGGCUCAACCGAGGAACUGCGCCCAAAACUGUCGUGCUCGAGGGAGACAGAGGUGAGCGGAACUUAGGGUGGAGCGGUGAAAUGCGUUGAUAUCCUAAGGAACACCGGUGGCGAAAGCGGCUCACUGGGUCUCUUCUGACGCUGAGGCACGGAAAAGCUAGGGUAGCGAACGGG